GUGCAGAAGUCAACCAAAGAGCCUUCAAGAACUUCUCUAAAAGAUUUGCCCAAGAGAGCCCAUAAAUGAGCCACAUUCAUUUCUGCCGUGAUGCCAGGCGCCAUGAAGACCCAUUCCCAAGGAGAAAGUAAGGCAAUUGAUAAGUAGUUCUCCAAACCGGAAAUGGGGAGAGGGGCCUGGAGCGGAGGGGGUACAACUGAGGCUGCCAAGAACUCUGCAGCAGAAACCAUCCUCCUGAGUUUCACUGCAAAAGCAGCAACUUUCAGAACAAAUGGAGGGAGCCCUCUACUGGCAAGUCGUCACUCUGCGAGGAAAGGGCCUGAUGCUGGAGCUUCGGUGUCAGCCAGUCCUUGGGGGCUGUUUCCUCCUUUUUCAGGCAGCAAACAUGGAAUGAAGAAUUUCAUGCAAUUUGAUUUUUGACAAGAAAGAGGUAGUACCUUCCAUCUAUCUCGGAGAGCACGCACCCUCUUAGGACAAGCAUACACGUGUUUCCUCACCAGCCCUGGAGGACACAGAACCACUACGAGACCAACAUUUUGUGCUGCCAACAAGCCAUUCAGUGUCCCUGGAGCACUGACCUGCAAAUGUUCCAGAUGCAAAACCACUUCAGAAGGAGAACGAGAAACUCCAGAGAGAUGACAGGAUGGUGACAAGGAAGAGCAGCAUUGCAUUAUCCUCCUGUUUCUGAGAAUUUCUGGAUAUUGUUAAACAAAAGUUUGGAGAAGUUAAACCGACAGGAAAUAACAUGUGUGUUGAGUUAUAAGGUGGCAAAUGUUGUGAAAUCUGUUUUCAGAAAAGGCCAACUGGGUGAGAGUGUGCCGAUGUGACAAGAAGUCCACCUCUCAGCACCAUCUCAGCUGAUGGAAGAUUCUUUCCUUUCCUUCCUCAUUCCCACGGGCUUGGGAGUAAUUACCCAGACACUUUGAAAAGAAUGUCACAAAGACUCUUCAUAUCCCUGGCUUUAAAGAAUGUUCUGCUCUUGAAUAAACCAUUUUUGCCCUAUUCAUCUUGGAACCAAGGCAGCCAGUCAAAUCCAAGAGGUUUCAACAAAUCACAGACUCUCUUUGGAAAUGCAGAGAGCACAGUGGGGAUAUAUCCCCAGAAAUGAUGGGCCGGAACAGGGAGAGGGAACACGGGGC
This 1139-nucleotide long non-coding RNA is filed under the name Equus caballus (horse). RNAcentral's name for it is "lncRNA (ENSECAG00000041957.2)". Lineage: Eukaryota; Metazoa; Chordata; Mammalia; Perissodactyla; Equidae. The record is from RNAcentral.